Molecule: ribosomal RNA, 128 nt
Filed under: uncultured eukaryote
Lineage: Eukaryota
Description: partial small subunit ribosomal RNA
Rfam family: Eukaryotic small subunit ribosomal RNA
Source: RNAcentral
CCCUGCCAUUUGUACACACCGCCCGUCGCUACUACCGAUUGAACGUUUUAGUGAGGUAUUUGGAUUGGACCUCGCUAGGUUUACGCCUGGCGUGCUGUCCGAGAAGACUCCCGAACUUGAGCGUUUAG